UUAAAGUUUUGCCCUGGCUUCUAACUAUAAACCCCCUUUUCCGCACAUGCUAGCUCUAGCCCACCAAAAAAAAUUUUACGCUAAAGGCCUUUUCAUAGGGAUUAGAUAACCUAUUUUUUUUUGCAGUGCACAACCUUAUUCUAUUUGUGAAAGCUAGAAAUAGUGAAAGGGAUCUUAGAUGGAAAAAAUUGUGCCAGCAUCCGCGGUUACACAAUUAUCUAGUAUAGUCUUAUUGGCUUUUGGCUUCGGAAAAAAUAAAAAGGUUCAAUUUUUUUUUGAGACCCUGUCCGAGAAAAAAAAACAAGAAGAUUCAACAUAAGACCAGGAUUAGAUACCCUGUUAUUAACAAUCUUAAACCAUCCUUGGGCAUUACGAGAAAUCUUAAAACCUAAAGGGCUUGGCGGUCUCCCGUAAAAUCAGGGAAGCCUGUGAUAUAAACGAUAAUCCACGAUAAAUUUUACCUUUUUUUUGCUCGUAUACCUCCGUCCAGUUAAUCUCUAAGAGAAUUAGCUUAGAAAAAAAUCAAAAUGUCAGGUCAAGGUGCAGCAUAGGAAGGAUUUACAUGGGCUGCAAAUAAAAGAAUAUUUUCUUUUUCAAAAAAAAGAAAAAAAAAGUACUUGACAGUAAUUUGUGUUCAAAAAACGCAAAUGAAUUAAACCCGGGAGAUGCACAAAUCGCCCGUCGUUCCCCCCCAAAGGGGGGAAAAGUCGUAACAUAGUAGGGUUACUGGAAAGUAUUCCU
Molecule: ribosomal RNA, 741 nt
Filed under: Microporella ordo
Lineage: Eukaryota; Metazoa; Bryozoa; Gymnolaemata; Cheilostomatida; Microporellidae
Description: partial 12S ribosomal RNA
Source: RNAcentral